Molecule: non-coding RNA, 207 nt
Organism: Vicia faba (fava bean)
Lineage: Eukaryota; Viridiplantae; Streptophyta; Magnoliopsida; Fabales; Fabaceae
Source: the annotation of a GenBank genome assembly
AUGCUACUUUUUUUCAAGUCCAUAUAUUAUCUUCUAUGCAAAAUACACUUACCUCACUACCAUUACGUGUGUAUUAUUGCAUUCACACUCUUUUGUCCUUCAUAUAAAGCCACUCUUCAAUACAUCAUCUCAUUCUCUUUAACACAACUCAAAAAUCAUGUGCAAGCCACACAUAUUUUCCUCUUUCAAUCUCAUUUUCCUUUUUAA